RNAcentral lists this ribosomal RNA (250 nucleotides) under uncultured organism. RNAcentral describes it as "partial 16S ribosomal RNA". It matches the Rfam family "Bacterial small subunit ribosomal RNA", at positions 137 to 402 of the family's 1533-position model. The record is from RNAcentral.
AGGGGAACAACAGCUGGAAACGGCUGCUAAUACCCCAUAGGCUGAGGAGCAAAAGGAGGAAUCCGCCCAAGGAGGGGCUCGCGUCUGAUUAGUUAGUUGGUGAGGCAAUGGCUUACCAAGGCGACGAUCAGUAGCUGGUCCGAGAGGAUGAUCAGCCACACUGGGACUGAGACACGGCCCAGACUCCUACGGGAGGCAGCAGUGGGGAAUUUUCCGCAUUGGGCGAAAGCCUGACGGAGCAAUGCCGCUU